GACAGGAUGGCCGAGUGGUUAAGGCGGUAGUUUCGAAUGUUCUGCUCUUCUUGUGGGGUGGACAUACUAGAGCAGCUACUUCACUCUGUGAGCGUGAGUUCAAAUCUCACUUCUGUCG
Molecule: non-coding RNA, 118 nt
Organism: Melampsora americana
Lineage: Eukaryota; Fungi; Basidiomycota; Pucciniomycetes; Pucciniales; Melampsoraceae
Source: the annotation of a GenBank genome assembly